UUCUACACAAGAGAUAUAACAGCAA
Molecule: small nuclear RNA, 25 nt
Filed under: Arabidopsis thaliana (thale cress)
Lineage: Eukaryota; Viridiplantae; Streptophyta; Magnoliopsida; Brassicales; Brassicaceae
Description: snRNA_10473
Source: RNAcentral